This is a long non-coding RNA of Engraulis encrasicolus (European anchovy), 1086 nucleotides long. RefSeq lists it as uncharacterized. The transcript has 4 exons. NCBI's taxonomy places the organism in Eukaryota, Metazoa, Chordata, Actinopteri, Clupeiformes, Engraulidae. The record is from RefSeq and is a predicted model, not a curated record.
CUGUCUCCUUCACCUAUAUUAGUUUAUCUGUCUUUCUGGUCACAACAGAAAUUCAAGACGUUUGGGUCCUCAGCUCAACUGACCAAGACCUUUGCUCAUUGAAGGCAUGAAGUAAUUUGUGAUGCCCCCACGAUUGCAGUUUUUAAACGCAGAUGGCUUGCUCUUUUUAACAUGUGCGAGAGCUGGAUGGUCUUUCAACAACACUGCUCCGGGUCUUCAGCAAGAAAGGUGCUUCUCAUGCAAGGAAGAUACAGAGGAUCCUGGUGCCCAUGACUCAGACUGACAACAUUGAUGUGAAGAGGGAGUGCAUGCUGAGGAGCUGACGGUCUACCUGAAUGAAGAGCCAGACAAAGUGGAUGUUGAUCUGGACGGUCCAGCUGAAACGUAUUGUCUUCGUGUGCGUGUGAUCGGCAGAGAGUCCUCAACGACAUUGGUAACGUACCUGUGGCCAUUGCAGUGUUUGUUUUGGUUUAUGCUCUUAAUCUCUGUUACCUUCCAGAAUGGAAGUACACUUUCAAAUUUCUGUUUCAUUCUAACCGUCUGUUUCAUCAGUUUUUGCACUGCUUUUAAAUGUACACUGUGUAAGAUUCUUAGUUGUUUAUUUCCAGAAUUCAUGCUACCCAUUCACUAAUGUUACCUUUUUCAUGAAUACUUAGCACCACCAUUAGGGUGCAUCAGUUGCCCCCUAUGAAAAGAUAUGGCCUUGGCCCUAUAGUAAAAAUGUUCUACACCCAGUAAAAACACACUGUGUAAAAUAUUUUGAAAUUUGGAUGAAGUCUACCGGGGCCACCAGCCCCAUGAAAAUAGAAAAUAAUGGUGAUAGUCAAAAUCUUGAAUAGAAACAGGGCUGGACUGGCCAUCUGGCAUGGCGGGCAUUUCCCGGUGAGCCCCGCACCCUCGUGGGCCCCCAUUGUUUUAUUUUUUACAUUACUGAAAAUAGGGGCCCAUGAGGGUGCGGGGCCCACCGGUGAGUCAGUUCUCCGGCACUAAUAAUAAUGAGGGGGCCCCCUUAAAUCCGAAAGUGCCCGGGCCCUAUUUAUCGCCCAAUCCAGCCCUGAAUAGAAAUGGACAUUUUGCUGCAUAAAG